UACAGAGGGUGCGAGCGUUGUCCGGAAUCACUGGGCGUAAAGGGCGCGUAGGCGGUCUCUUAAGCGUGUGGUGAAAGCCCGGGGCUCAACUCCGGGUCGGCCGUGCGAACUGGGGGACUGGAGCUUGUCAGAGGCAGGCGGAAUUCCGGGUGUAGCGGUGGAAUGCGUAGAGAUCCGGAAGAACACCCGUGGCGAAGGCGGCUCUCUGGGACGGUACUGACGCUGAGACGCGAAAGCGUGGGGAGCGAACAGG
RNAcentral lists this ribosomal RNA (253 nucleotides) under uncultured bacterium. RNAcentral's name for it is "partial 16S ribosomal RNA". It matches the Rfam family "Bacterial small subunit ribosomal RNA", at positions 524 to 776 of the family's 1533-position model. The record is from RNAcentral.